GUCAUCAUCUUUCAAUUGUUGGGAGGUUAACUCUAAUAAACUUGAUUUUAGAUAGUCUUCCACUCUAUGUCUUUCUUUUUUCAAGUCAUCAACUGAAAUUAUUCAAAAGCUCACAACAAUUCAAAUAAACUUUUUAUGGAGAGACAUGCAUGAUGAAUAAAAAGUAUGCUGGUUGAGUUGUGAAAAAAAUAUCCCCACCAAUGGAGGAGGGGCUUAAGAGUAGAUCAAGAAAUUAAUAAUAUUUAACUAAGGUUCGCCACAAAUAAAACCAAAUAUCAUAAAAGGACAAAUUAGCAUAUAGGAACUAUACUCAUAUAUAUGCACCCAGAAAAUAAGCCAAACUUGAUAUUCCAUAUAAUUUUUUCAUUUUUUUUAAUAAUUCCAUCCGAAUUCCCAUCGUUAAUUUCUACAUAAAACAUAUAUAAAACAUAUAUAUAAAGUGAAAACUUAAACUUCAAUUAGUAACAACAACAUUCUAGCUAUACAAGAUUAUACUAGGUAAUAUCUCUCUUGGAAUUGUUUUUAAGAAAGAAUAUAUAACUACUAUUAAAGUAUCUUUCAAGUAUAUAAUUCAAUUGAUAAAUAUUGAUAUUGUUAGUUUAGACAUCAUGUCUCAAUUCAAAUGGGAGAUUUCAGAUUUGUGUAUGUAAAUUUCAAGUAGUGCUUACCGCUAGUCUAAAGAAAAAAAAAAAUAGGCUUCAUGAAUAAUUAUAAAUUGCCUGGCUUGAGCCUGUGUGCCGUAAGAAGGCGAAGAAGAUACAAAAUUAAAUAUAAAUCAUGAUGGAGUCAUCAUCAUCUUCACCUUAAUUCACCACCUUGUUUUCUCCCAUCUCUUGAAUUGGAUCCACCAUAGUAGGUGGAUAGUUUUGGCAAGAAAAGGAUUAAGCCUUGAGAUAUAUAGUAAGUACAUAUAUAUUAUAGGAAGAAAAAGGGGUGAUCAAUUUAUGUAGGUGCAUAUAAUAUGAAGUAUAUAAUAAUAAUGAUGAUGGUAUAAUGCAUCACCCAUUCAUUUGUAACUCUUGUUCUUUGACCCAACCCUUCCAACAUAGCCAAACAAGUAAUCA
RNAcentral lists this long non-coding RNA (1064 nucleotides) under Cicer arietinum (chickpea). RNAcentral's name for it is "long non-coding RNA (CARI_LNC000075)". The record is from RNAcentral. Lineage: Eukaryota; Viridiplantae; Streptophyta; Magnoliopsida; Fabales; Fabaceae.